This 800-nucleotide long non-coding RNA is filed under the name Marmota monax (woodchuck). Lineage: Eukaryota; Metazoa; Chordata; Mammalia; Rodentia; Sciuridae. The record is from RNAcentral.
CUGGGUAGUUAUAAUUCUAAACUUCUAUAUUGUGUGUUUUUCAGUACCUAGAGAGAGAGGAAAUUGCAUAUUAGCACAAAAAGUCCAGGCCGGAUGCGAACUUCACUGAUCAGCCAAAAGCCUUUAUUCAGGAAUAGAGUCAUGGUUCUGACGGACCCACUCUCCUGGUGGAAAUGAGCCACUGAGAAAAGGAGGGAACUGGACUUAUAUAGGUUCUACUAAGAGGUGACUUAAUUAUUGAGUGUGUCAACUUGGGUACACAGGCAUUUGGGAUCUGUUUUACUGGGCAAAAUGGGAGGGAGUCUGAGGUCAGUGGUCAGUUUCUGGGAUUUAUCUUACUGGCCUGGAUGGAGAGCCUGGAGUCAGUGGUUGGUAUCUGGAAAGGAUUUGCUUAUGGAAUGAUUAAUGCUUUGGCCUUUUCCCAGAGACUUUUCUAGAUUUGAUGGACAUCUCCUCCCCAGGGUUUGUUUUAUCACCAGGAAUAAAUGUAUUGGGAAAGGAUCAAUGCUCUCAGUGUAUGGCUUUCUUUCUCACUCCCCUUUUCCUAGGUCUCACUAUUUGGAGGGGGGUGUUAUUUUCCAUAUCUAAUAGUGCACAUUUAGAAGUUAAUUUAAUCUAAAUAACUUGACUUCAGAAGUAAGUAAUGCCCAAAUGCUCAUAAUUAAUUUGAUCUAAAUAAUUAUUAAAUAAAUUCUUCAUUAAGAAUGACUCACUCUUGUAAACUUACUCUUGGAAAGACCAUUGGAGGUAGUCCCAUUUUUAUCCUUAGCAAUUGUUUAUUGAGUUUUAAUUGACUCCAG